CGUAGGGUGCGAGCGUUAAUCGGAAUUACUGGGCGUAAAGCGUGCGCAGGCGGUUUUGUAAGACAGGCGUGAAAUCCCCGGGCUCAACCUGGGAACUGCGCUUGUGACUGCAAGGCUAGAGUACGGCAGAGGGGGUGGAAUUCCACGUGUAGCAGUGAAAUGCGUAGAGAUGUGGAGGAACACCAAUGGCGAAGGCAGCCCCCUGGGUCGAUACUGACGCUCAUGCACGAAAGCGUGGGUAGCAAACAGGAUUAGAUACCCUGGUAGUCCACGCCCUAAACGAUGUCAACUAGGUGUUGGGUGGGUAAAACCAUUUAGUACCGGAGCUAACGCGUGAAGUUGACCGCCUGGGGAGUACGGCCGCAAGGUUA
This 371-nucleotide ribosomal RNA is filed under the name uncultured organism. RNAcentral's name for it is "bacterial SSU rRNA". It matches the Rfam family "Bacterial small subunit ribosomal RNA", at positions 526 to 896 of the family's 1533-position model. The record is from RNAcentral.